UAGGUAGGUGGUCUCGUUUGUCUGGGGUGAAAUCCUUGAGCUUAACUCAAGAAGUGCCCUAGAAACGGCGAGACUCGAGUACUGGAGAGGGUCGUGGAAUUCCCGGUGUAGCGGUGAAAUGCGUAGAGAUCGGGAGGAACACCAGAGGCGAAGGCGGCGACCUGGACAGGUACUGACACUCAACUACGAAAGCGUGGGGAGCAAACAGGAUUAGAUACCCUGGUAGUCCACGCUGUAAACGAUGGGUACUAGGUUUGGUGGGUCUUGACCCCCGCCGAACCGGCGCUAACGCACUAAGUACCCCGCCUGGGAAGUACGGUCGCAAGACUAAA
RNAcentral lists this ribosomal RNA (332 nucleotides) under uncultured bacterium. RNAcentral describes it as "bacterial SSU rRNA". It matches the Rfam family "Bacterial small subunit ribosomal RNA", at positions 568 to 898 of the family's 1533-position model. The record is from RNAcentral.